GCCGAUACAUACACGCGGCUGCCGCCCAACCCCGCCAGGUCCGGAAGGAAGCAACGGUAAGCGAAGGGUCGCGGUGCUAUGCCUCCCUCGG
Molecule: signal recognition particle RNA, 91 nt
Filed under: Spirochaetaceae bacterium
Lineage: Bacteria; Pseudomonadati; Spirochaetota; Spirochaetia; Spirochaetales; Spirochaetaceae
Description: signal recognition particle sRNA small type
Rfam family: Bacterial small signal recognition particle RNA
About the family: The signal recognition particle (SRP) is a universally conserved ribonucleoprotein involved in the co-translational targeting of proteins to membranes. Archaeal SRP consists of a 7S RNA and homologues of the eukaryotic SRP19 and SRP54 proteins. In most bacteria, the SRP consists of a 4.5S RNA and the Ffh protein (a homologue of the eukaryotic SRP54 protein).
Source: RNAcentral